RNAcentral lists this long non-coding RNA (370 nucleotides) under Bemisia tabaci. Its description in RNAcentral is "lncRNA ENSSSA2NGG005336". Lineage: Eukaryota; Metazoa; Arthropoda; Insecta; Hemiptera; Aleyrodidae. The record is from RNAcentral.
GCCUCAGGUAUCAAAAGCUGUGACUCUAAAGGAAUUCUUCCACAGUUUCAAUCCUGAAGAAUCCUCAAGUCAUAAUGAAUCAGAAUCAAGAGCAGAGCCAUCAGCAACAGAGCCAUCUGCAUCAGAGCCAUCAACAACUCAAACAGAAAAGACAGCUUGAGUAUCAGGAAAUGGGGAUGAAUCGCUGAAAUUGAAACUGCUUAAAGCAGAUUUUCCUGGCCUGGUGAAAGCCAUUCUAUGGGUGUGAGCCAACAAGAACAGCUUGAGAGGUGACAUACUCGAGCCAACCUGUUUAGAGGUAAUCCUUUAUUUUAUUACAGCACCAAAUUUAAAAUGAUGGAAUCAUAAAAAUCUUGAGUCGUCUUAAGAC